CGAGUGCGUUCAGAGUUUGAUCCUGGCUCAGGACGAACGCUGGCGGCGUGCUUAAUACAUGCAAGUCGAACGGAGCCUAGUCUUUAGUUUACUAUAGGCGAAAGCUUAGUGGCGGACGGGUGAGUAACGCGUGGAGAAUCUGCCCUCAAGCCUGGGAUAACAGAGCGAAAGUUCUGCUAAUACCGGAUAUGCUCUGAGAGCCGCAUGGUUCAAAGAGGAAAGCGCAAGCGCUUGAGGAUGACUCCGCGUCCCAUUAGCUAGUUGGUGAGGUAACGGCUUACCAAGGCGACGAUGGGUAGCCGGCCUGAGAGGGUGACCGGCCACACUGGGACUGAGACACGGCCCAG
RNAcentral lists this ribosomal RNA (347 nucleotides) under uncultured bacterium. Its description in RNAcentral is "bacterial SSU rRNA". It matches the Rfam family "Bacterial small subunit ribosomal RNA", at positions 1 to 334 of the family's 1533-position model. The record is from RNAcentral.